UACGUAGGGGGCGAGCGUUGUCCGGAAUGAUUGGGCGUAAAGGGCGCGUAGGCGGCCUGCUAAGUCUGAAGUGAAAGUCCUGCUUUCAAGGUGGGAAGUGCUUUGGAUACUGGUGGGCUGGAGUGCAGGAGAGGAAAGCGGAAUUACCGGUGUAGCGGUGAAAUGCGUAGAGAUCGGUAGGAACACCAGUGGCGAAGGCGGCUUUCUGGACUGAAACUGACGCUGAGGCGCGAAAGCGUGGGGAGCAAACAGG
RNAcentral lists this ribosomal RNA (253 nucleotides) under uncultured bacterium. Its description in RNAcentral is "partial 16S ribosomal RNA". It matches the Rfam family "Bacterial small subunit ribosomal RNA", at positions 524 to 776 of the family's 1533-position model. The record is from RNAcentral.